RNAcentral lists this long non-coding RNA (3029 nucleotides) under Marmota monax (woodchuck). Lineage: Eukaryota; Metazoa; Chordata; Mammalia; Rodentia; Sciuridae. The record is from RNAcentral.
AACCUUAGAGAAAAGUCACAGGGCUGGGACGUGGCUCGCGGUAGAGCACUCGCCUACCCAAGUCCUCGUGCAGGGCCUGAGGUCAGCCCCAGGUGGGGGAAAGAGAUGAAAGGACUGAAGCCCACUAAGGUCAAGGACAGAGUGACCAGAGCUGAACCCAGGAGCACAGGGGCGGGCUCCAGGUGCACGGGGAACGUGAUGGGAAGGUGAAAAUGACCCCAGGACACGGUGGAUGUGGGGCAGGCCCAGGUCACCCAGCCUCUGCUAAACGGGAAUUGUUGAUGAAGAGCACACAGGUGAGGAGUAGAGGACUUGCUUUACUUCUGCACGAUCCUGUGUGAGUACUGACUCCGUGUUCAUGUGCCUGGGGCCUGGUGCCCAGGACAAGUUGCAUAGACCCAGGAAAGGUGGAGAGACGUGAUGAAUGUCUGUGUGGGUGCUGCAUGGCCACAGUGGGCUAGCAGUGUCCACCCAGGGGCUCUGUGAGGGCCGAGCACGGCCUGGGAGGGGCCUGUGCUGCACCCAGGUCUCAUCUGCAGCUGCCCACUCCCGGCCCUCGCUGGGGAGAGGAGCUGGUCACCUUGCUGUGGGGAGGAGGCAGCAACCCUGCAGGGUGUGAAGGUCCUGUGGCCACAUCCUGCUCACUUUGCAGCUUUGUUCAGCUCCUGCAUCCUGGCCCCAAUGUGGCCCCCAAAUUAGCAACCUCCUGUGCCCUGCUGUGCCCUGGAAGGGGAGGCAGCAGAGGUCAUGGUGGAAAGUCCCUCCUGAAGACAUUGGGCCUCCAGAGCCCAGGCCAGAGGAGGGAGCCCUGGGAAGCUGAGGGUAUGUACUGAUGGAGCCCAAUGUCACCACUGAGUGACAGAGCCCGUCAUGGGUGGCAUUCACAGAGGGAUGUAUUAUCUCUGCUUUGGGUGUUGAGGGGCACUGGGGGAAAUAGUUCUGAGCUAUGGUAGAGGCAUGGGUUUCCUGCUCUUAAAAAAAAAAUGUCUUGUCCCAGGGAGAGCAGGAAACCCACAUCAGAAUCUGGAGUAGACCUGGGCGCAGAUGUCCACUAUAGACACAGUGAUUGAUCAGGUUCAGGGACUUGCAAAAGAUUCAAGAAACCAGGACACUUACAGACCACUGUAGACUGCCUCACACAGAACCCAGCACAUGGGUGCUCAGAAGUCUGCUUUGACAGAAGCACAAGGUCCUCAACAAUGGUCCACCACGCUGAGCCUCUCACUGAACCUGAGGUCACUCCAUCUCCAUGGCACUGUCUUCUGUGCUAACUGGUCAAUGGUGUUCCAUCAAAACCACGUCUGAAGGGGACAAGGCGGUGUCAUGAGAGCUAACAGUGGGUGAAGACAUAAGAGGUGUGGACUCACUCCUUAGGUUGAUCUGUACUGUUCUGUUCAGGACCGUGGUGACAACAGGUCCCCUUCUCUUAGCUACCCAGCACACCUGCUCCUUGGCUGAGAAGAAGCUACUCCUGGUGUUUUCAAUCUUCAUUUGUGUGGAGAUUUCUUCCUUCCUAUUUCCUUCGUCCUGUGAGUGUCCUCACCUAUGAGAUGCGUCUCGGCAUACAGUUGGACUCUGUGUUUUGAUCCACUCUGCUCAUCUGUGUCUUUUAAUGGGGGGUGAGACCAUUUACAUUCAGUGUUAGUAUAGAUUGUGUCCGUGUUUCCUGCCAUCUUGGUGUUUUGCUACAUUGGAUACCAUCCUGAGUCUCAUUUAGUGGAUCACUUCUCAGGGAUACUCCUGUAUGGGGGGACUUCCAGAUUUGGUUCUGAGUUCCUCUGUGUGCACUUUAUCUGGAGUGUUCUUUUAGUUCUGGGUGGUGGCCAUGGAUUCUUUCAGUUUAUCCUUGUCAGGGAGAGUUUUAUUCCCCUCCUUGAAGUAGAAAGAGAGCGUCGCUGAGUGUGGUGACCUUGGCUGGCAGCUGUUUCCUUACAGAGCUUGAAAUAUCUCACUCCAGUCCUCCUUGAUUGUAGGGUCCAAAGGGACAGGUCAGAAGGAGUGUUGUUGGUUUGCUUCUAAAUGUGACCUGAACUUUCUCUCCAGAAGUUUCAUAUUCUUUCCUUAUUUUCUUUUUUCCCCCAUGGAGGAAAUGAUAUGAAACAUUUAUUUGAUAUAUCAAACAAGAUCAGAGCUAAGUAACCCAACUCCACUUCAGCACAACAAAGGCAAUCACCCCUCGACCCAGUGUAAGAUUGAAAUGCAACCUGCAUAAGGCACGUGUCAUGAAAUAGCAAGACUGCUGCUGCCUUCCCCAGGACUUCCAGCCCCUACCAGGUGACAGUGAAAUACCAACGGUCCCCAUAGUUUUAUUGAAAUCAAUCAUUUAAAGUGUAUUUUUAAAGAUGAAUCAAAAUGCCUCAGUCUCAUUAACCAUAUAUUCACCUGAAACUUUUAUCUAUGUAAAUGAGAUUUAUUUACUUCCCACUAGUAACUCUUUAUUUUACUCACACUAUAGCAAUGGAUUUUCCAUACUUAGUGUCUGCCUUACCCAAUAUCAAAGAAAAAAAUCCAAAAUGAUUAGUAAAGAAAAAUGUAGGAAAUAACACCAUCUUUACUUUUAAAUAUUUUAAGGUUUAAAAAGUGUUUAAAGUUUGUAAGUCCUAGAAGGAAAACAUUAUCUGAAUGAACACCCUUUGGCCAAUCAUGUACAAUGCUUCACCUGCCCUGGCUGCACAGGGGCAGGGUCACCUUGAAAGCACCCCAGCUCUCCUGAUGAGGUCGGAGGUUGCCACAGCCACUAAGUGAUGGAGGGUGCUUUUCUUCAGUGAGGGUCAUGUGCUGGGCAUUCUGCUUGACCUCCAAAUUUGGCUGACAACUGACUGGUGAGAUUCCUAACCUGUGGGUUGCCUUGACAUCAUGACAUCUUUGCGGGGUUCUGGGCCGCGUCCUGGAAGGCCACCCUAACUCCUGGGUCCUGCAUGGCUACAAGAACACUCCAGCAUGCCCCCUGCCUCCGCAGGCAUUCCCCCGGGAAAGCACCUGGGGAAGAGCCCACCUGAGCUCCUCCUUGUGGUCCGGCUUCCUCCUCC